UACGGGGGGGGCAAGCGUUGUUCGGAAUUACUGGGCGUAAAGGGCUCGUAGGUGGCCAACUAAGUCGGACGUGGAAUCCCUCAGCUUAACUGGGGAACUGCGUCCGAUACUGGAUGGCUUGAGUUUGGGAGAGGGAUGCGGAAUUCCAGGUGUAGCGGUGAAAUGCGUAGAUAUCUGGAGGAACACCGGUGGCGAAGGCGGCAUCCUGGACCAACACUGACACUGAGGAGCGAAAGCCAGGGGAGCAAACGGG
Molecule: ribosomal RNA, 253 nt
Filed under: uncultured bacterium
Lineage: Bacteria
Description: partial 16S ribosomal RNA
Rfam family: Bacterial small subunit ribosomal RNA
Source: RNAcentral